GGAUUGAAACAUUUCUUACUUUUUAAUAAGUUUCUUUGAUACGGCUUAGCAUUCUCUCUUAUACAUGGUAAUUGUUUAUUUGUAAUUACUUAUUACCUUGGAGUCUCUUACUUAUUGUAACCUUAUGCAGAACUUAGCAAAAAAGCCAAUUAUAGAAAACAAGGCUAAAUGUACUUUCAUCUAUUUAUUAUCAACAAUAUUUGCUUGACCAAUGGAGAUUUUAAUGUCAUCUUCUGACGUGUAACCAAUGUCUGAUCCUUUGUGGCAAGAUACACAAAAGGAUGUUGCUCAUAUCUAUGGUCUAUUACGACGCUUACAAAAUAACACAGUUAUCUCUCAAGUUGCGUAGCUAGGCUAUUUUUAACAGGAAUGGGGGAAGCUUUGGUGUUGAAUUUACUUAUGAUGAGAAAGAAUUUGGAGCUAAUUUAUGCUGGUUAUUGCAAGCUAGGUAAAAUGGAAGAGGCGUUGGUUUUUUUUGAUGAUACGAUGGAUUAGGGAAUUAGAGCUAACACUAUUACAUUCUAAGACUUUGUAAAGACAGUGAAUGUCUUCCACGUAGAGAUUAUUGUGCAUAAAUGUUGAAACAGGAAUUUGAUUGCAAGAAUAUUGUGAUUGAUAAAUGAGGGGUGGCAACGCGUGCAGAUGAGAAUUUGGAUUUGGUUAAGCAGACGGACCUGGAACUACUUAAUUUGCGUAAAAGUAUUUAUGUGAGGUCUAAUGGCUACUUAAAGACUUUUCUACCUAUUGACGGUUUUGCUCUACAGGCACAUGCUUUGAUUCUGGUCAAGUGGCGUUGUUAAUGGAACAAUAAUCACUACGUAGCAUCUUCAAUGAUAGAAAUUGAAUGAUGAGGAAAUAAAACGGACAUGCUGUUUGAAAUCCACAAAUGGUAGGGGGUAAAGACGCUACAAUGGCUCGAUGUAGUAUCUUAGCAUGAUUUUGUGUCGUUAUUAAUGCUUUUGCUGUAGUUUUUCAUGUUAGUUGUUCAGAUAGAGUCCGUUGGAUGCGCCAAAUAUCCAAAGCAUGACUAAAAAGCCAACUUAGCUUCACUUGAGCUGGAGAUCCCAGCUUUGCUUGAACCUGAAGACGUUGACAAGACAUUUAUUACCAUGCUUGAGUUAAGUUUUCCCGCAUCAGUAUAGUUCUAACGGUUGUAGGAUUAUCUAUUUUUUAGUUUUAUUCUAACUAAACGAAGUGUAAAUGAGGAAAGGGAUGGUUUAUUAUUAGGCUUUAGUUAUAAUUAAGGUCAUUAAUCUCUUAAUAAGCUGUGAUGUUGUAAGAAUAUUUUGAUGAUUAUGGAUGAUUAUUUCGUUAUA
This is a long non-coding RNA of Erigeron canadensis, 1316 nucleotides long. RefSeq lists it as uncharacterized. The transcript is spliced from 4 exons. Lineage: Eukaryota; Viridiplantae; Streptophyta; Magnoliopsida; Asterales; Asteraceae. The record is from RefSeq and is a predicted model, not a curated record.